RNAcentral lists this ribosomal RNA (497 nucleotides) under uncultured bacterium. RNAcentral's name for it is "partial 16S ribosomal RNA". It matches the Rfam family "Bacterial small subunit ribosomal RNA", at positions 28 to 507 of the family's 1533-position model. The record is from RNAcentral.
GAUGAACACUGGCGGCGUGCCUAAUACAUGCAAGUCGAGCGAACGGACGAGAAGCUUGCUUCUCUGAUGUUAGCGGCGGACGGGUGAGUAACACGUGGAUAACCUACCUAUAAGACUGGGAUAACUUCGGGAAACCGGAGCUAAUACCGGAUAAUAUUUUGAACCGCAUGGUUCAAAAGUAAAAGACGGUCUUGCUGUCACUUAUAGAUGGAUCCGCGCUGCAUUAGCUAGUUGGUAAGGUAACGGCUUACCAAGGCAACGAUGCAUAGCCGACCUGAGAGGGUGAUCGGCCACACUGGAACUGAGACACGGUCCAGACUCCUACGGGAGGCAGCAGUAGGGAAUCUUCCGCAAUGGGCGAAAGCCUGACGGAGCAACGCCGCGUGAGUGAUGAAGGUCUUCGGAUCGUAAAACUCUGUUAUUAGGGAAGAACAUAUGUGUAAGUAACUGUGCACAUCUUGACGGUACCUAAUCAGAAAGCCACGGCUAACUACGUG